GUCUCAAAGAUUAAGCCAUGCAUGUCUAAGUAUAAGCAAUCUAUACGGUGAAACUGCGAAUGGCUCAUUAAAUCAGUUAUCGUUUAUUUGAUAGUACCUUACUACUUGGAUAACCGUGGUAAUUCUAGAGCUAAUACAUGCUAAAAACCCCGACUUCGGAAGGGGUGUAUUUAUUAGAUAAAAAACCAAUGC
RNAcentral lists this ribosomal RNA (192 nucleotides) under endophyte RAa6/RAb6/RAb8/RBa2/RBa5/RBa6/RBb2/RBb3. RNAcentral's name for it is "partial small subunit ribosomal RNA". It matches the Rfam family "Eukaryotic small subunit ribosomal RNA", at positions 34 to 228 of the family's 1831-position model. Lineage: Eukaryota; Fungi; Ascomycota. RNAcentral also lists the same sequence under 2 other names. The record is from RNAcentral.